CCAGUGUAGACAUCCUGGGAGGUCACUCUCUCCAAGCCCUGUCUAAGUGGUGUAGGGGAGCAUGGGUCUCUGCCACAGGAUGUAUAGUCUCUUUCCACAAUGUCGGAGGUGAAGCUGGGCUUGCAUCUUCCUAUAACAUCUCAGAUUCCUUUGUGACUGAGGAGACAAACCAUGUAGAAAACAUGU
Molecule: small nucleolar RNA, 186 nt
Organism: Ictidomys tridecemlineatus (thirteen-lined ground squirrel)
Lineage: Eukaryota; Metazoa; Chordata; Mammalia; Rodentia; Sciuridae
Gene: SNORA73
Rfam family: Small nucleolar RNA SNORA73 family
About the family: U17 (SNORA73A and SNORA73B) also known as E1 belongs to the H/ACA class of small nucleolar RNAs (snoRNAs).
Source: Ensembl